UGAGGAAUAUUGGGCAAUGCCCGAAAGGGUGACCCAGCAACGCCGCGUGGAGGAUGAAGGUCGUAAGAUUGUAAACUCCUGUUAGAGGGGAAGAAUAACUAAGUUUGGAGCUUAGUAUGACUGUACCCUCAGAGAAAGCCCCGGCUAACUACGUGCCAGCAGCCGCGGUAAUACGUAGGGGGCAAGCGUUGUCCGGAUUUACUGGGUGUAAAGGGCGCGCAGGCGGGAUAAAAAGUCAGUGGUGAAAUCCUACAGCUUAACUGUGGAACUGCCUUUGAUACUUUUAUUCUUGAGUUCGGGAGAGAGAGACGGAAUUCCAGGUGUAGUGGUGAAAUACGUAGAUAUCUGGAAGAACACCAGUUGCGAAGGCGGUCUCUUGGUCCGACACUGACGCUGAGGCGCGAAAGCGUGGGGAGCAAACA
Molecule: ribosomal RNA, 422 nt
Filed under: uncultured bacterium
Lineage: Bacteria
Description: bacterial SSU rRNA
Rfam family: Bacterial small subunit ribosomal RNA
Source: RNAcentral